AUCAGGGUUGUUAUUUACUAAGGGAUUUAAAACUGCACAGCCAGGCAGAGUAACCAUUCCUCAAGGUGGACUGGAGAGAAAGCACUGAAACGUCCAAAGACGGAUCAGAAGCGAGUUCAUCUUUCAUUCUCAAAAAAAUAAUCUAACCAUGAUAUCUCGGGAUGUCGGUUGGCGUAUUUCUGAGGACAAUCUGGAACAAGCUGCACUGAAAGAUGGUCAGAGAAAUGGCUUUCAGAAUGAGCACAGCCAUCCUGGUGCUAUUAGACUUGCUGCUAAUAAUAGGUGUUUCAGCCCCAGGAAGAUCAAUCAAGAGGAGUCAUAGGGAAUGUUCAAGGAAUGGUUUUACACAUCUGCCCAGAUGGAUUAAAUUACACUUGUCUGUUUUUAGUUGCAUUACUUAGAAAUUGGUUGUCUACUUUUUUCAUUUAUGUGUCAGUGGACUGCUAAAAGGAUUUUGUAGUAAAACUCCUAUCAUACUUUCCUUGUAUUGUAUGUUAGACUUUCAGCUGGUUUACAACUUGUGCACAUAACGUAUAUGUGUACAGUUUUGAAGAAAGUCAGAUGCCUGUAUGUUUUCAUACUCUGUGUGGAUAUGCAAGUUUGAUCUCCUAUAAUCUUAAUGAUAAAUUGUGGUUGACGUAUGUAAGUUGUUGGCUGUAAUUUGUUAAUAUAUUACACAUUUUCUUCAUACAAAGAUAAAAGCUACUUCUUUUUAAUACCAAUUAAAUAUAUCUUGUGAAUGUCUGUGACUAAUCUUCUUUUUAAAAAUUCCCGAUGUUUGCAAUGUAAAAGACUUCUAGUUAUAUUUACUGAAGUGUUUUUUUUUAUUUAUCUGCUUAUGAAAUAACCAAGUAAAAUCUGUAAUUCAUUAUACUAAGAUGAAAACAUGAAACCAAGUCAGUUGUACAUCUCUUUAGCACUUAAGGUGGUAUUAUCUGAAGUUAUUUUUUUAAAUUAUGCUGCUUUUCAAAUGUGUUUAUAAAUAAAAAAGUUUCAAAUUUACCUUC
This is a long non-coding RNA of Lepisosteus oculatus (spotted gar), 1007 nucleotides long. RefSeq lists it as uncharacterized. The record is from RefSeq and is a predicted model, not a curated record. NCBI's taxonomy places the organism in Eukaryota, Metazoa, Chordata, Actinopteri, Semionotiformes, Lepisosteidae.